Molecule: ribosomal RNA, 479 nt
Filed under: uncultured bacterium
Lineage: Bacteria
Description: bacterial SSU rRNA
Rfam family: Bacterial small subunit ribosomal RNA
Source: RNAcentral
GAGAACGCUGGCGGCGUGCUUAACACAUGCAAGUCGAACGGAGUUACGUAUGAAGUAUUUCGGUACGGACUACAUAACUUAGUGGCGAACGGGUGAGUUACACGUGGGCAACCUGCCCUUAACCGGGGGAUAACAUUGUGAAAACAGUGCUAAUACCGCAUAACAGAGUAUCGGGCAUCCGAUAUUUUUAAAAGGAGCAAUCCGGUUUAGGAUGGGCCCGCGUCCAAUUAGCUAGUUGGUGAGGUAACGGCUCACCAAGGCUACGAUUGGUAGCCGAACUGAGAGGUUGAUCGGCCACAUUGGGACUGAGACACGGCCCAGACUCCUACGGGAGGCAGCAGUGGGGAAUAUUGGGCAAUGGGCGAAAGCCUGACCCAGCGACGCCGCGUGAAGGAUGAAGGUCUUCGGAUUGUAAACUUCUUUGAUCAGGGAAGAAAGAAAUGACGGUACCUGAAGAACAAGCCACGGCUAACUACGUG